AUUGAACGCUGGCGGCAGGCCUAACACAUGCAAGUCGAGCGGUAACAUUUCUAGCUUGCUAGAAGAUGACGAGCGGCGGACGGGUGAGUAAUGCUUGGGAACAUGCCUUGAGGUGGGGGACAACAGUUGGAAACGACUGCUAAUACCGCAUAAUGUCUAACGGACCAAAGGGGGCUUCGGCUCUCGCCUUUAGAUUGGCCCAAGUGGGAUUAGCUAGUUGGUGAGGUAAUGGCUCACCAAGGCGACGAUCCCUAGCUGGUUUGAGAGGAUGAUCAGCCACACUGGGACUGAGACACGGCCCAGACUCCUACGGGAGGCAGCAGUGGGGAAUAUUGCACAAUGGGCGCAAGCCUGAUGCAGCCAUGCCGCGUGUGUGAAGAAGGCCUUCGGGUUGUAAAGCACUUUCAGUCAGGAGGAAAGGUUAGUAGUUAAUACCUGCUAGCUGUGACGUUACUGACAGAAGAAGCACCGCUAAC
RNAcentral lists this ribosomal RNA (476 nucleotides) under uncultured bacterium. Its description in RNAcentral is "bacterial SSU rRNA". It matches the Rfam family "Bacterial small subunit ribosomal RNA", at positions 30 to 501 of the family's 1533-position model. The record is from RNAcentral.